UAGGGAAUCUUCGGCAAUGGGGGGAACCCUGACCGAGCAACGCCGCGCGAGUGAAGAAGGUUUUCGGAUCGUAAAGCUCUGUUGUUAAGGAAGAACGAGUGUGAGAAUGGAAAGUUCAUGCUGUGACGGUACUUAACCAGAAAGGGACGGCUAACUACGUGCCAGCAGCCGCGGUAAUACGUAGGUCCCGAGCGUUGUCCGGAUUUAUUGGGCGUAAAGCGAGCGCAGGCGGUUAGAUAAGUCUGAAGUUAAAGGCAGUGGCUCAACCAUUGUAGGCUUUGGAAACUGUUUAACUUGAGUGCAGAAGGGGAGAGUGGAAUUCCGUGUGUAGCGGUGAAAUGCGUAGAUAUAUGGGGGAACACCAGUGGCGAGGGCGACUCUCUGGUCUGUAACUGACGCUGAGGCUCGAAAGCGUGGGUAGCAAACAGG
RNAcentral lists this ribosomal RNA (429 nucleotides) under Bacteroidota bacterium. Its description in RNAcentral is "Bacteroidetes bacterium partial 16S ribosomal RNA". It matches the Rfam family "Bacterial small subunit ribosomal RNA", at positions 355 to 776 of the family's 1533-position model. Lineage: Bacteria; Pseudomonadati; Bacteroidota. The record is from RNAcentral.